RNAcentral lists this ribosomal RNA (541 nucleotides) under Bifidobacterium longum subsp. infantis. Its description in RNAcentral is "bacterial SSU rRNA". It matches the Rfam family "Bacterial small subunit ribosomal RNA", at positions 146 to 700 of the family's 1533-position model. The record is from RNAcentral. Lineage: Bacteria; Bacillati; Actinomycetota; Actinomycetes; Bifidobacteriales; Bifidobacteriaceae. RNAcentral also lists the same sequence under 1 other name.
UCUCCUGGAAACGGGUGGUAAUGCCGGAUGCUCCGACUCCUCGCAUGGGGUGUCGGGAAAGAUUCAUCGGUAUGGGAUGGGGUCGCGUCCUAUCAGGUAGUCGGCGGGGUAACGGCCCACCGAGCCUACGACGGGUAGCCGGCCUGAGAGGGCGACCGGCCACAUUGGGACUGAGAUACGGCCCAGACUCCUACGGGAGGCAGCAGUGGGGAAUAUUGCACAAUGGGCGCAAGCCUGAUGCAGCGACGCCGCGUGCGGGAUGACGGCCUUCGGGUUGUAAACCGCUUUUGAUCGGGAGCAAGCCUUCGGGUGAGUGUACCUUUCGAAUAAGCACCGGCUAACUACGUGCCAGCAGCCGCGGUAAUACGUAGGGUGCAAGCGUUAUCCGGAAUUAUUGGGCGUAAAGGGCUCGUAGGCGGUUCGUCGCGUCCGGUGUGAAAGUCCAUCGCUUAACGGUGGAUCUGCGCCGGGUACGGGCGGGCUGGAGUGCGGUAGGGGAGACUGGAAUUCCCGGUGUAACGGUGGAAUGUGUAGAUAUCGG